CCCACACUUGCUAUGAGGCAGGUCGGGGGCUCAUUUCCACUGGGCAAUGCUUGCUGCCCAGUUGCUAAAAUGGCCUCUGGGGUGGACCACCUGGCACUCCGCAUUCUUCUUAGUGCUCACCGAGUACUCCAAGCACUCCAUCAGACACCAUAACCACCGUAAACCCUGCAGCCAGUGUUACAGCUUGGUUGGGGUCUCGGUGUCCUCCACCCACCCUGGACCCAAGACCGGGAUCCAGCUUCCAGUGGGUAGACCUCUCCUUCCCCAGAGAGUAUAGCAGGAUAGCUCUUGCAAGAGCUAGUGAUUAUAAUCCAAGGGAGUAUAAUGAGUAUGGCAAUCCCCAGAGUGAAUAUAGCUGUUCCCUCCACAAAUGAGACGAGGCUCUAUAUUGAGGGUGAAGAGGAACCCUUUUUAUUGGCUGCCACAACUGGCCUCAUAUGCAGGUCCUCAUGCAAGGGGCACUC
This is a non-coding RNA of Pelobates cultripes (western spadefoot toad), 464 nucleotides long. The record is from the annotation of a GenBank genome assembly. NCBI's taxonomy places the organism in Eukaryota, Metazoa, Chordata, Amphibia, Anura, Pelobatidae.